GCGCCACGCCGCGAGGUCGAUCACGUCCGCAGAGGCUCCAAACCAGCGGGUUCGGGGUUCGAGUCCCUGAUGGCGCA
This 77-nucleotide transfer RNA is filed under the name Actinotalea lenta. Its description in RNAcentral is "tRNA-Trp". Lineage: Bacteria; Bacillati; Actinomycetota; Actinomycetes; Micrococcales; Cellulomonadaceae. The record is from RNAcentral.